GACUCUUGAAUAGCAUCGGCUUUGGAGCGCCAUUCCAGAGUGAGACUUCGAAGAAUUUUACGGACAAGCUCCCUAUCCGUGAAAGUCUUCUUGAGCGCAUGAAGAUCAUUAACGAUUUUUGAAAUUCGUUUGAACAUAUCGUCUAUCUUCUCGCUUUCCUUCAUAUGAAAAAGUUCAUAUUCGUGGGUUAGAAAAUCUAUUUUAGCUUCUCUUACCUGGUCCGUACCUUCGUAGGUGAUCUCCAAUUUAUCCCACAUUUGCUUAGCCGUGGUGCAACAUGA
This 281-nucleotide long non-coding RNA is filed under the name Nicotiana benthamiana. Its description in RNAcentral is "long non-coding RNA (NBEN_LNC038544)". Lineage: Eukaryota; Viridiplantae; Streptophyta; Magnoliopsida; Solanales; Solanaceae. The record is from RNAcentral.